UGUCCAGUAGCACCUUAGAGACCAACUACGUUUGUUCUGGGUAUAAGCUUUCGUGUCCAUGGUAUCUGAAGAAAUGUGCAUGCACACGAAAGCUUAUACCCAGAACAAACUUAGUCUAAGGUGCUACUGGACA
Podarcis lilfordi (Lilford's wall lizard) is the source of this 133-nucleotide non-coding RNA. NCBI's taxonomy places the organism in Eukaryota, Metazoa, Chordata, Lepidosauria, Squamata, Lacertidae. The record is from the annotation of a GenBank genome assembly.